UUUAUCUACAGUACAAAGUUACAAUUCUCACUCCAUUUUCACAUUUAUGACACGCCUACUCUUCAGCAUUCUUACUCGAAUUCAAACUCAUAGAAACUCAUAUAGAAGAUAAAGGAAAAGAACGAUAACAUUUCCAAACGCAAUAGCUCAUAACCCCCGGAAGGGUCUAAACAUAGUCUACAAAUCUCAAACACAAACCUUCACAUAACUAUCUCUGGCUUCAAAAUGCUUGAUUUGAUCUCUUUGUGGGGUAAAACCACACCUCCGUUGCUGUAAAUUUCAUCACAAACAUGGACAUCUUCUCCGAGGAUUGUUAAGUUCUCUACACGGGCCCAUUGCCCAACGGUGGAGUG
Molecule: long non-coding RNA, 353 nt
Filed under: Populus trichocarpa (black cottonwood)
Lineage: Eukaryota; Viridiplantae; Streptophyta; Magnoliopsida; Malpighiales; Salicaceae
Description: long non-coding RNA (PTRI_LNC002602)
Source: RNAcentral